This 436-nucleotide long non-coding RNA is filed under the name Sus scrofa (pig). Its description in RNAcentral is "lncRNA (ENSSSCG00050019590.1)". The record is from RNAcentral. Lineage: Eukaryota; Metazoa; Chordata; Mammalia; Artiodactyla; Suidae.
GUCUCUGUGAGGAUGCAGGUUUGAUCCCUGGCCUCGCUCAGUGGGUUGAGGAUCCAGUGUUGCCACAGGCUUCGGCGGCGGAGGUCACAGAUGCAUCUCAGAUCCGGUGUUACCGUGGCUGUGGGUUAGACUGGCAGCUGUGGCUCCGAUUCGACUCUUAGCCUGGGAACUGCCAUAUGCCACAGGUGAAGCUGUAAAAAGCAAAAAAAGGAGAAGAAGGAAAAGAAAAAAUGGCAUCUCAGAUGGGCCACUGGAACAUUUGGAAACGUGCAGACGGGCACUGGUGAAAUGAGCAGCACGAGAAAAGGAGUAAAGCAAAUGCUGGUGGGAGCCCAUGAGAAACAGGCUGGUCGUGAGCCCCAGAACCCCCAUGAGGAGUUAAACCAGGCCUGGCUCUGCAGCGCACACGGGAGGAGAAGAGAAAAGGAAGUGGAAG